CAGAGACUGCAAGCGUUAUUCGGAUUCACUGGGCGUAAAGGGUGCGCAGGCGGUUGGGUGUGUCAGAUGUGAAAUCCCGAGGCUUAACCUCGGAACUGCGUCUGAAACUACUCGACUAGAGUACUGGAGAGGGUAACGGAAUUCACGGUGUAGCAGUGAAAUGCAUAGAUAUCGUGAGGAACACCAGAGGCGAAGGCGGUUACCUGGACAGUUACUGACGCUCAGGCACGAAAGCAUGGGGAGCAAAAGGGAUUAGAUACCCCUGUAGUCCAUGCCCUAAACGGUGCACACUAGGUCUUAGCGGAUUCGACCCCACUAGGGCCCAAGCUAACGCGUUAAGUGUGCCGCCUGAGGACUACGGUCGCAAGACUA
Molecule: ribosomal RNA, 372 nt
Filed under: uncultured organism
Description: bacterial SSU rRNA
Rfam family: Bacterial small subunit ribosomal RNA
Source: RNAcentral